AAACGUAGGAGACGAGCGUUAUCCGGAUUUACUGGGCGUAAAGCGCGUGCAGGCGGUGGUACAAGUUGGGCGUGAAAUCUCCCGGCUCAACUGGGAGGGGUCGUCCAAAACUGUAUCACUUGAGGGCAGGAGAGGGAAGCGGAAUUCCCGGUGUAGCGGUAGUAUGCGCAGAUAUCGGGAGGAACCCCAGUGGCGAAGGCGGCUUCCUGGUCUGUUCCUGACGCUCAGACGCGACAGCUGGGGGAGCGAACGGGAUUAGAUACCCCGGUAGUCCCAGCAGUAAACGAUGGAUACCAGGCGUUGGUGGGGACCACCCAUCUGCGCCGAAGCUAACGCGUUAAGUAUCCCGCCUGAGGAAUACGGCCGCAAGGCUAAA
Molecule: ribosomal RNA, 376 nt
Filed under: uncultured bacterium
Lineage: Bacteria
Description: bacterial SSU rRNA
Rfam family: Bacterial small subunit ribosomal RNA
Source: RNAcentral